AUGAGUUCAAUACACCUGUGGCUCUGUCCGUGACUGUGGGUGAGAUUUGGUGUCCAGAGUCAUGGGGGGCCUCAGCUCACUGCCCACUUGGUGUGGGGAGGUGAAACCCAGGCCCUGACAUGU
Artibeus jamaicensis (Jamaican fruit-eating bat) is the source of this 123-nucleotide small nucleolar RNA. RefSeq annotates it as small nucleolar RNA ACA64. The record is from RefSeq and is a predicted model, not a curated record. The transcript has a single exon. NCBI's taxonomy places the organism in Eukaryota, Metazoa, Chordata, Mammalia, Chiroptera, Phyllostomidae.